This 1594-nucleotide long non-coding RNA is filed under the name Equus caballus (horse). RNAcentral describes it as "lncRNA (ENSECAG00000045436.1)". The record is from RNAcentral. Lineage: Eukaryota; Metazoa; Chordata; Mammalia; Perissodactyla; Equidae.
GCGACGUUUUCAGGCCGUGGCAUCCUCCGCACUCGGAGCCUGGGAUGCAGCAGGCGGGCAGAACUGUUGGAUGCAUGCAAUGGCGCGCGGGGCUGUCGACACCGAGGCGGAUAAACGCAGGCCCCACCUAAAAGAACUGCCGGCCUCUGAGGAAACAGGUGGCUGGGACUUGGUCACGGACCCCCGUCCGUCUCUGUCAGAAGGCUGCUUCUAGGGCAUGGAUCCUCCGGCACUUUGGCCUGGGCCUGUGCAUUCCUGUGAGCAGAGAAAGCCCUGGUGGAGUGGAGGAGCUUGCAGACAAAAGCUGUAGCAUUCCACUCAGCAGACCAGCAGACUUCCCGCCAUGGCCAAUGUGUUCAGGACCGAGGGGGCCCAGUGCCUUUCCAGCAGCCUGUUUCAUGCACCCCUUUCUUGGAGGGGGGCUUCCAUUCCUUCACCUCCUCUGUCUGCAUCCCCUGUGGUCAAGCUCCGGGUGGUUAUUAGUAGCCUCCAUGGAACCGGUCCAGGACACUCUUCAGCCUUCUCCUCCCUGACCUCUGGGCAGCCUGUGGGAUGCCCUCCCAACGUCCUUCCAUCCUAGGGGCUGCCUGUUUCCUCUCCAGACCCUCUUUUCUGCCUGUAGAAGUUGGUUACCUUCCAGCUUCAUCCUCACACCCCACACACUCCCUGGAGAAUGUGCCCAUGGCCUCAAUCACUUGUGGGUUCAAUUUGCUGAUACCCCCCAAAUAUGCAUCUGUAUCCCAGAUUUGCUUUCUAAACUCCAGACGCACAUGUUCAAUUGCCCGCUUAGCACCUACACGUGGGUGUCCUCGGAAGCAGAAUGGAGAAAUAAGUGCUGUCCAAGGGCUGAGUUUAGUUCAUAUCCUCUCACUGUAAUCAACCCUCACCUUGAGUAUCACGGCUUUUCUGAGUCUGAGCGCUUCUAGCCAAUCACUGGACCUCUGGGGGCCCCGAGCUUCACUCUCAAGUCAGGCUGCGAGCUGCUCCAUGCAGCUUCCCUUCCCUGGCCCAAGAGCUGUCUCUCUCCCACUCACUACGCUCCAGCCACCCUGCCCUUCUCUCAGCCCUGGAAAACACCAGGCUUGUCCUGAUGCAGGGUCUCUGCACUCACUGCUCCCUCUGCAGCCGGCCCUGUGGCUGCUCCUUCCCAUCUCUGAGUCUCAGCUCAAACGCCCACGUCCUCAGCAAAGCCUUUCCAAUUACUCCAAAUCUUAACACAGCAAACAUUCAUUACCUCACAGUUUCUGUGGAUCAGAAAUCUAGGUGUGACUUAACUGGAUACCUCAGGUUCAAGUUCUGUCUUGAAUCUCGGUCAAGCUGUUGGCCAGACAGAGGGUUAUGGUCUCAUCUGAAGGCUUGAUCUGAAGACCACCACUUCCAAACUCAUUCAUGAGGUUGUGGUCAGGCCCGGUCCCUUGUCACUUGGGCUUCCUCAUGGGGCUGCCUCACUACAUGGUAACUACUUAACUUAGCAUGGGGCCAAGAUGGAGCCAUAGUUUUUCUUUAAUUGAAGUACAAUUGACAUAUAACAUUAUAUUACUUCAAAUGUACAACAUAAUUAUUCAAUACUUGUAUAUAUUGCAAAAUGGUCAUC